AUACUGUGGGUGGCGAGUGGCGGACGGGUGAGUAAUGCAUCGSGAUCUACCCUGACGUGSGGGAUAACCUCCGGAAACCGGGACUAAUACCGCAUACGUCCUACGGGAGAAAGCGGGGGACCUUCSGGCCUCSCGCGGCAGGACGAACCGAUGUGCGAUUAGCUAGUUGGCGGGGUAAUGGCCCACCAAGGCSACSAUCGCUAGCUGGUCUGAGAGGAUGAUCAGCCACMCUGGGACUGAGACACGGCCCAGACUCCUACGGGAGGCAGCAGUGGGGAAUAUUGGACAAUGGGCGCMAGCCUGAUCCAGCAAUGCCGCGUGUGUGAAGAAGGCCUUCCGGGUUGUAAAGCACUUUUAACAGGAGCGAAAUACCMCGGGUUAAUAC
RNAcentral lists this ribosomal RNA (385 nucleotides) under uncultured bacterium. RNAcentral describes it as "partial 16S ribosomal RNA". It matches the Rfam family "Bacterial small subunit ribosomal RNA", at positions 79 to 464 of the family's 1533-position model. The record is from RNAcentral.